The sequence is a ribosomal RNA, 463 nucleotides long. It matches the Rfam family "Bacterial large subunit ribosomal RNA", at positions 1850 to 2577 of the family's 2925-position model.
GAGUCGGACCUGCCCAGUGAAUAUUUUCAACGGCCGCGGUACUCUGACCGUGCAAAGGUAGCAUAAUCAUUUGCCCUAUAAUUGAGGGCUAGUAUGAAUGGUUUGACGUGAACAAAGCUGUCUCUAUGUAAUUUUUUAGAAUUUGAUUUCUAGGUGAGGAAACCUAGAUGUAAUUGAAAGACAAGAAGACCCUAUUGAGCUUUAAAAAAGUAAACUGAAAAUAAUAUAUAACUCUAAAUAUUAAUCUGUUUUAGAUUUUGGUUGGGGCGACUAUGGAACAAAUAAAGCUUCUUUAUAAUUAAUAAAACUUACAGGUCUUGAUCCAAAAAUUUUGAUCAAUGGAAUUAGUUACCAUAGGGAUAACAGCAUAAUUUUCUUUGAGAGCUCUUAUCGAAAAGAAAGUUUGUGACCUCGAUGUUGGACUAGAAUGUCCUAAAGAUGCAGCAGUCUUUAAGGGUUGGUC